CCUGCCGGAAUACUUCAACUAAUCCUACAUCAAAGUGGUACCAGAUUGUGCCGGAAUACUUCAACUAAUAUAAUACCACUUGUAGCAGCACACAAAGAUAAAAUUGAUAUUAUUUUAGAUGAAUAGAUUGUAUUGACCAACGAUUGGGAGAUCCGGUGCUUUCUUGUUUGCUGUGUGGAUCGACCUAAUUCUGAGUCUAUAAGGAUUGUCAGAGAGAAGCUCCAACAAAUCUGAUCAAGUUUUAGUUUCGAUAUUUGGUUCUUCAGAAAGAUCGUUUGCCGUGGUCCUUUAUGAUUUAUCCACUCGAUCGAGUCGAGGUUUUCGUCUAACCUUGGAAGAAUUGACAAGGACAUCCAUUUGAUUAAUAUUUGGGUUUUAUUAUUUUGGACUAUUAAAUUGGGUUUGUAUUUGGGCCUAACCUAAGCCACAACUAUAUCUACAAGUGGGUUAUUGGAUGUGAAAGAGGGGAGACGAUGAUUGGAAAUUUACAGGCUUUAUUCCCACUUCUUUGAAAUAUCUUUUGACUCUGCCUAUGUUUUUCAUAGACGGUCUCAAAUCUGGGUAAAGGAACUUUGUGUCAAAUUAUUAUGACAUGAAUAAUAUAGUCAACUCAUAAUUUAUUCGAAACGAUGCUUAAUUUUUGUUGUUUUUCAUUACAGGCUGAAGUAAUUGUUGACGGGUCUGUGGUAAGGAGUGGCAGGAACUUGACAGUAGUUGUAGUUGAGUUUAGACAUAAGGAAUCAGGGCGACUAGCAUUCAUAACUCGUGCUACAUUCUAUAAUAUGCCCAUUGCAAGUUUAUGAUCCAACGCUUAGUUCAAACAUCAAAGAUACAGACAUCUUGGUAUACAGUUCAGUUCAUAAAACCUUUGGAGCUGCCACGUAAAAAAACGCAGUGCAAACUACAGGCAAGAAAAUGGAGCAUUUUCCUCUUUCUUGUUAAAGCAACUUUCUACUAUUAUUUGAUGGUUCCGAUGCAUCAAGAAAGAUGAAUAGAAUAAGCAAACGUGUUAAUCUGAUGUCAAUUCACAUUUCUUCGGGUGCAUUACUGUAUAUUGUUUUCUUCAUAGUUACAUGCAGAGGAUGUUCUGUAAUGAUCAUUUUAAUAGUAAUUAUUAAGAGACUUGAUUAUUUUGUGAAAUUUUUUAUGAAGAAUGGAAUUUCUUCGUGAAAGUCGAAAGGUCAUGGAUUGCUAUUAGGCUUCCGACCCUUUUUCUUUCCUCAUAAUCUAAAGAGGCAUAAAGCGGAUUGUUUCAUUA
This is a long non-coding RNA of Olea europaea var. sylvestris, 1258 nucleotides long. RefSeq lists it as uncharacterized. NCBI's taxonomy places the organism in Eukaryota, Viridiplantae, Streptophyta, Magnoliopsida, Lamiales, Oleaceae. The record is from RefSeq and is a predicted model, not a curated record. The transcript has 2 exons.